This 396-nucleotide ribosomal RNA is filed under the name uncultured bacterium. RNAcentral's name for it is "partial 16S ribosomal RNA". It matches the Rfam family "Bacterial small subunit ribosomal RNA", at positions 523 to 918 of the family's 1533-position model. The record is from RNAcentral.
AUACGUAGGGGGCGAGCGUUGUCCGGAAUGAUUGGGCGUAAAGGGCGCGUAGGCGGCGCGGUAAGUCUGGAGUGAAAGUCCUGCUUUCAAGGUGGGAAUUGCUUUGGAUACUGCCGCGCUUGAGUGCAGGAGAGGUUAUCGGAAUUCCCGGUGUAGCGGUGAAAUGCGUAGAUAUUCGGAGGAACACCGGUGGCGAAGGCGGCCUACUGGGCUUUAACUGACGCUGAGGCUCGAAAGUGUGGGGAGCAAACAGGAUUAGAUACCCUGGUAGUCCACACUGUAAACGAUGAUUGCUAGGUGUGGGGGGUCUGACCCCUUCCGUGCCGCAGUUAACGCAAUAAGCAAUCCACCUGGGGAGUACGGCCGCUAGGCUAAAACUCAAAUGAAUUGACGGGG